GUAAGUUAAAUACAAAGGUUGAGUUGGCUUAUGUGCAUUUGAAAUGCUGCUCUAAUUUGUAUCUAUAGGACAACAAGGAUUAAAUGGAGAUAAUCCCUUUACAAUGGUGUAAUUGGUACAGGGCUAGCAAGCUAGAUCAGCUAGAGCAUAUGGCUGGGUACUGAGAGAGAAACAGGAUCUGUUCUGUUUGGGCUCACCCCACACUGUGGGGCCCCACAGGACACUUGUCCCUAUGCCUUGGAUGUCAGGUGAUGCUACUGCAAGUCUGUGGAUCCUUGCAUGAACCAAGCAACAACUGAGGUAACCUGGUCCCAUCUCAAGCAGAGACCUGCCCCUGUUUCUGUGACCUUGAUGAUGCUGUGCUGACUGUGUGUGUCUGGUCACAGAGUCUCUGGUGCUCAGAGGCUGUGUGCUUAUUUUGCAGCCACUUGGCUACCACACAAGAGCUACAAGAGGUGCAUUGGAGAAUCACCAGAAUUUUAAUUAUUUUCAUUGCAUUUUGCUGUCUGCAGUCACAGGGUAAAAGAGGUACGGUCCAGUCUCAGGUUCUGCACUCUACAGCCAACCAGGUCAUCUGGUCUGGACUAGGAGCACACUCCUGCCUGUCAGAAGUUUCUCUUCUGUGUAUGGCAAGAGCCACUGAUUUUAAUUUGAGUCAGAACAUGAGUUAACAAUUCAGUGUAGAAAUAUCCCAUGAGCAGCUUCUCAGGAUGUCAUCAUAAGUCUACAGUUGUGGGAAACAGGGCAGUAAGACUUGAAUUUCUGGUGUUAAAAUUGGAGAGGAAUGAUAUUGCAGGUUUGGUUUUGGGUUUUUGGGUUUUUUUUAAUUCAUCAAAAAUAAGUCACCUUGAAGAUCACCUUUUAAGAAUUCUUUGGCUGUUCCUGACCAGAUGAUGUGUGAGAAGCAAUACUGUUUUCUGUGAAAACAACUCUGUAAAGAAGAGGAGAGAUAUAAGUUCCUGUGCUGAAAGACCUGAUUAUGCUGGACCAACCACAAAAUCUGUUACAGAGGUAUUAAUUGCUUGCACCAUUUAUGUAGUCACACAUUACACCUGCUCUUUCCUGUGGGAGUCAAACACCAGUAGUGUUUUCCAUCCCAAACUGGAUGUGAUGCCAAAAUACCAGGAAUCUGCAAGGAGCAGAACUGAGCUGUGUUAAACCAAUGACUUAACAUGACUUAAAGAGAAAAAAGCCACACAGGAAAACCAGAUUAUAAGAUUUGCCACCAUUCAAAUAAAAAGUUAUCCUUUCCUGUUGUUCCUUGAGCACUGGGCUUUCCAAGUUCACCAUUCUUUCCUGGGACAAGUGACUCAUGAACCUGAUAGGAAAAUGCACCUGUUUUUAGCCAGAGGUUAAAGCAGCUCUCCAGUUACCAGAGUAAACAAAGGAUUUAUUUCUGUCCUUAGCAAUUACCCUGCAAAGUCCAGGAACACAGGAAGGCUGGCAGAAGCCAUUAGGUUUGAGCCAAGUUUGCUGAAGUCAGUAGAAGGUUUGUGACAUCCACAGUAAGAUGCUCCUACAUGCCAGUGGGAUUUGGCCCAUGUCUUUUGCUAGAGGGGAAAUUGGAAAAAAAAGUUGUGAUUGUGUCAGCAGCCAAGGAUUCCAAGGAGCUGGAGGGUGUCUGCCAUGGUGUGGGAUACACAUUCCCUUCUCUGGCCCAGAGCUGUCCAUCUGUACUCUUGGCAAAAGAGCAGCUGUCAGUCACAGAGGCGUGAUGGGUAUUGACACAUUUGAGACUGAUCAGACACUGCAGUAAUGGCAACCAUGCAAGUGGCUAAAAUAUUUGGAAAUCAGAGUGUUGGAUGUAUUGGCAUCAUGGAAGCUGAAAGGUUUUAUGAGCCAGGAGUCACUUAUUAAUCCCAGCAUGAGAAAUGGGAUCUGUUUGUUCUCCACUAUGGAGAUCACUGAAAAAUGCAAAUACAACAUUAGCUUGUUUCAGGUCAGCACUCAAUACAGUAUAAAAACAAGAUGGAUUUUAGCCUUUAUUUAACUGGAUUUAAUUACAUGCAUGAGCUUCAAAGUGCCUAAGGCCUAAUGGAUGGUGACCUAAGGUCUGAUUAAAAAAGCAACAACACCCUAAGCCUUAAGCUUGUUUGUUAGACCAUAUGGCAUGACUGGACCAUGCAAUGUUACAGGGAAACAUGCUAGGAAGAAAGCACCCAGUGCAUCCACAGCAUUCGCAAAAUUUCUACCUUCACUCAGAAGAAUCUGAACACUGAUCUUCCCUGCCCUCUGUACCAGCAUGGCUCAGGAGCGUGGCUAGGAUGGAAAGAUGACAGUGUUUCCAAUCACACUUUCCCGAAAAGUCUGCAGUGCCCUGAGAGAGAGCAUGCUGACCCUUGGAAGUCAACCACUUUACUUCUCAGUUCGGGAGAUCCACGUGGCUACGAAAUUCCAAAUAACCAAAUUUCAGGAUAGUAUUAGCAUGACAGAUAUUGUGACAAUAUCUAUUUGUAUUUCUGUGAUUGAUUUCAGCCUAUUCUUGGGUCUGGAUAAAGUACAAAAUCUCUUUUUUCUUUGGAUAGUACAACACAGCUUUGUGUCAUCUCUGUAAAGGAUACCAGCCCUUAGCAGCCUCCAGGAAUCACCUCAGUGGGCCAACUGAUGUCCACCUGCUUGGUCUCUGAACACCCAGCUCAGAAA
Passer domesticus (house sparrow) is the source of this 2643-nucleotide long non-coding RNA. RefSeq lists it as uncharacterized. The record is from RefSeq and is a predicted model, not a curated record. NCBI's taxonomy places the organism in Eukaryota, Metazoa, Chordata, Aves, Passeriformes, Passeridae. The transcript is spliced from 3 exons.